RNAcentral lists this long non-coding RNA (2351 nucleotides) under Zea mays. RNAcentral describes it as "long non-coding RNA (ZMAY_LNC001061)". Lineage: Eukaryota; Viridiplantae; Streptophyta; Magnoliopsida; Poales; Poaceae. The record is from RNAcentral.
UUCUGACAUCUAUAUAAAAUUUUGGCAGCAUCUCCUUUGCAAAAUUGCAUAAAUGAGGGGGGACAACAGUGUAUAAACACAUAUCAUGACAAAAACAUACCAAGUAUUAUUAAUCGGCUAGCAAAGGGAAGUUAAACAUACGACAUGAACUGAAUUAACCAGUGCGCACGACUAGCAAAAAAAUAAACUUCUUUUGACAACAAGUUUCUAAUUAAAUCAUGGCUACGCCUGGGCAGCGCUAUUAUGAGAGUGAAAGUGGACGUGCUGCUACUCCCCUCAUUCCCAACAUGUAUCAAGUACCUGCAUUGAGUAAUGCAAGAGUGAGAUGACACAUCUCAGCAAGCAAAAUAAUAUCAAAUUGUUUAACCACAUAAGAAUAUUGUUUUACCACCACUUGAUUUCACAACCUUCUUAUUACAAAGGUGCAGCACGUAUACAACGUACAACACUCCUAGCUACCACACCUCGCAGGUAGAAACCACAAUAGUAACAUAGUAAUGUCACUCUUCAUAUAUAUACCUCAUGAGUGCAAAUGUCUACAAAUGCAAGGAUGACUUCUGCCUUCAUACCUCUAAGGAUAUGAAGCCGCAUCGUACCCCUCCUCGGGCAACGUACGAUGCUAAAAAUGUACCGGUACAGUCGGACCAUAAGAUCACGACAUAACUUCAGAAUGCAAGAUGGAUGAUGCAAUGUGCAUGACAUGCCUACAACACUUCAUAUAACGUGAUUCAAAAAAAAUACUUCAACUCAAUCCAUGAUGGGAAUCAACCACAUAUAUCAUUACCAAAUCAUGAUCAUCCACAAUAUUAGACAAUUGAGAAUUAAUACUUUCGAACAAAUAAACUUCAUCAUAGAAUUCAAUGAUUAACAUAUUUAAAACUUAUGCAUACUCAAUGACAGGGAAUAGGAUGCAAACCAAACGGUAGCAACCACCACUGUAUUUACUUGCCUUUACCGGAAGUUUGGGCAAAUCCCUAAGUACGAUCCGGAAGUCCACCACCUGUUUUUGACACACAACUUAGUGCACCAAUUUCACAUAACCAGGCUCAUAAACGACGCCGCACCUACGCACAAACUCAAGCCCCGCCGCGGGUUACAUCUCUCCCCACACCCACCAAACUGCAGCGGCGCUGCUUAAUAAUUUCAUAACUUCAAAAUUAUGACAGCAUUGGUAACAAACAAAAACUCCAGAGGCAUCUACAUAAAAUUCCCCACAAGUUUUGUAUACAAUUUAUAAUUAAAUUCCAACAUCUAAUUAGCCCAAAACAGUUCACAAGAUGAACCCUGUAAUCUGUUUUUUUCUCUUUUGGACAGCGACAUACCCGGAUUCAAACAGCGAUAUCUUUUAAAAUAUAAUUCCAAUUCAAGCGCAUAAGUACUCAUUGGAAAGAUAAGACAAAGCCAUACAUGAUUAUCAUACUGGUUAGCACUAAUUAACCACGAAAAAUUCCCAGAAAUUGCUAAUACUACUGCUGUUCACCCACCUGAAAAAUCUGUUUUUUUUGGACAGCAACAUACCCGGAUUCAAACAGCGAUAUCUUUUAAAAUAUAAUUCCAAAUCAAGCACAUAAGUACUCAUUGGAAAGAUAAGACAAAGCCCUACAUGAUUAUAAUACUGGUUAAUACUAAUUACCCACGAAAAAUUCCCAGAAACUGCUAAUACUACUGCUGUUCACCCACCUGAAAAAUCUGUUUUUUUGGACAGCAACAUACCCGGAUUCAAACAGCGAUAUCUUUUAAAAUAUAAUUCCAAAUCAAGCACAUAAGUACUCAUUGGAAAGAUAAGACAAAGCCCUACAUGAUUAUAAUACUGGUUAAUACUAAUUACCCACGAAAAAUUCCCAGAAACUGCUAAUACUACUGCUGUUCACCCACCUGAAAAAUCUGUUUUUUUGGACAGCAACAUACCCGGAUUCAAACAACGAUAUCUCCUAAAUUAUAACUCCGAAUCGAGCGCAUAAGUACUCGUUAGAAAGGUAUGACAAAGCUCUACAUGAUUAUCCCACUGAUUCCCACUAAUUACCCCACGAAAAUUCCCAGAAAUCCCUAGAACUACUGCUGUUCACCCACUCACAAAAUUCCUGGACAGCACCUCUACCGAUUCGCAAAGAUAAACACAUAAUCCAAUUGAUUGCAGCACAAAAACAACAAAAGUUAAUCACAAAUUCACCUUAGGUUCUUCCCUUCCUCCUUCCUUCUUCCUCCCUCCAAACUCCAAUUGAGAUUGCAGCCACACGACGGAGAACCACACGGGAGGGCUGCACCUUGGAGGAGGGAGAGAAAUGGGGGGGCGGCUAGGGUUUUGGGUGGUGAGGGCUGCAAAGGUUUGAGGAGGAAGAAGAUGGGAGAGG